This 484-nucleotide ribosomal RNA is filed under the name uncultured bacterium. RNAcentral's name for it is "partial 16S ribosomal RNA". It matches the Rfam family "Bacterial small subunit ribosomal RNA", at positions 30 to 507 of the family's 1533-position model. The record is from RNAcentral.
AUUGAACGCUGGCGGCAGGCCUAACACAUGCAAGUCGAGCGGAUGAAGGGAGCUUGCUCCUGGAUUCAGCGGCGGACGGGUGAGUAAUGCCUAGGAAUCUGCCUGGUAGUGGGGGAUAACGUCCGGAAACGGGCGCUAAUACCGCAUACGUCCUGAGGGAGAAAGUGGGGGAUCUUCGGACCUCACGCUAUCAGAUGAGCCUAGGUCGGAUUGGCUAGUUGGUGGGGUAAAGGCCUACCAAGGCGACGAUCCGUAACUGGUCUGAGAGGAUGAUCAGUCACACUGGAACUGAGACACGGUCCAGACUCCUGCGGGAGGCAGCAGUGGGGAAUAUUGGACAAUGGGCGAAAGCCUGAUACAGCCAGGCCGCGUGUGUGAAGAAGGUCUUCGGAUUGUAAAGCACUUUAAGUUGGGAGGAAGGGCAGUAAGUUAAUACCUUGCUGUUUUGACGUUACCAACAGAAUAAGCACCGGCUAACUUCGUG